Molecule: long non-coding RNA, 449 nt
Organism: Bombus impatiens (common eastern bumble bee)
Lineage: Eukaryota; Metazoa; Arthropoda; Insecta; Hymenoptera; Apidae
Exons: 2
Source: RefSeq, a predicted model, not a curated record
CAUUGGCCUACAUACGUAGUUAUUUAAUAGUAAAUUACAAAAUGUACACUGUUCUAUACACAUACACACAUCUAAUAGUAAUACACAAAACCAUAUCAUGAUCAUAAACAACAUAAAAAAUUAUUAGUUUUUAAAUAUAAAUAAAAUAUGAUAAGUUGUGACAAUAAGGCACUAUUUUGAAAUAGACCUAUUUCGUUUACUUGCCGAAUAAGGACCACGAGGAUCACCAUAUACAGGAUCAAACGCAGAAAAUGUAAAUCUUGUUGGUGUAACUGGACUCCUUGGAGUUGACAUAGUUGUACUAUUUAACGGAGAUGAGCAUGGAGUACUAACCUUUUUUAAUUGUGGUGGACAUUUAUCAGCUAUAAAAGAUGAAUUGCGGUUAAACAGUUAUUUAUUAUAAAUAUGAAUAGAAAUUAUGUUAAAAUAAAAUACAUACCAAAAACUGA